Molecule: long non-coding RNA, 640 nt
Filed under: Brassica rapa (field mustard)
Lineage: Eukaryota; Viridiplantae; Streptophyta; Magnoliopsida; Brassicales; Brassicaceae
Description: long non-coding RNA (BRAP_LNC001571)
Source: RNAcentral
UUCUUUAUUCAAGAUAACAUGAACAUAAAAGCAACAGAGAGUGAAGCAUAUAGAGUCCAACCAUGCAUGCUUGCUCAAUGCUCAUUCGUUGCCAGCUGAAUUGUUCUGUUAAUAUUUUUUGAAUAGUAAUAUAGAAAUAAUUUGAGACUUCGACUUGUCUUUUGGUAAACCACUGUAACAACACAAGCAGGUUGAGACAUGGAAGAAAAAUACAAAUCCUUAUGUGGUUUGUCUGAGAAUUUCUUUUUUUUAUAUUUAAUAAAUCAGAAUUGUUGUAAAAGGACUUACACAUGGUCAUCAUUCUGUUGGCUGCAGCUAAACAGGAGUUCGUCAGUUGACUCAUGAAGGGCAGUGCGUCUUCUUUCCUUGUCGGAAUAUGGAAAGUAUUUCCACCUCUCUAGCUCAGCUUCACACUCUUCUGAACUUUUGCUUGUCGCAAUGGUUCGUGAUCAGCAAAAGAGAGAAUCUGACUCACUAAGGGGAUAUUGGAACAUUUCUCUGAGUGGUGUAAUUUCUCUGAGUGGUGUAUAUGUUAAUGACUAAAAGGAUUUACUCUUGUAUUUGCUGCAUUGUAUGUUUGUAGUUGCUUAUGCUAUUUAAGUUACAAUAAUUAUUUUACCAUGAGAUUACUCAAUUUGUG